AGAGUUUGAUCCUGGCUCAGGACGAACGCUGGCGGCGCGCCUAACACAUGCAAGUCGAACGAGAGAUGAGGAGCUUGCUCUUCAAAUCGAGUGGCGAACGGGUGAGUAACGCGUGAGGAACCUGCCUCAAAGAGGGGGACAACAGUUGGAAACGACUGCUAAUACCGCAUAAGCCCACGGCUCGGCAUCGAGCAGAGGGAAAAGGAGUGAUCCGCUUUGAGAUGGCCUCGCGUCCGAUUAGCUAGUUGGUGAGGUAACGGCCCACCAAGGCGACGAUCGGUAGCCGGACUGAGAGGUUGAACGGCCACAUUGGGACUGAGACACGGCCCAGACUCCUACGGGAGGCAGCAGUGGGGAAUAUUGCACAAUGGGGGAAACCCUGAUGCAGCGACGCCGCGUGGAGGAAGAAGGUCUUCGGAUUGUAAACUCCUGUUGUUGAGGAAGAUAAUGACGGUACUCAACAAGGAAGUGACGGCUAACUACGUGCCAGCAGCCGCGGU
RNAcentral lists this ribosomal RNA (500 nucleotides) under uncultured Gram-positive bacterium. RNAcentral's name for it is "bacterial SSU rRNA". It matches the Rfam family "Bacterial small subunit ribosomal RNA", at positions 8 to 521 of the family's 1533-position model. The record is from RNAcentral.